AUCCCAGCACUUUGGGAGGCCAGGGCAGGCAGAUCACCUGAGGUCAGGAGUUCAUGACCAGCCUGGCCAAAACAGUGAGACUCCAUCUCUACUAAAAAUACAAAAAUUAGCUGGAUGUGGUGGCACAUGCCUGUAAUCCCAGCUACUUAUGAGGUUGAGGCAGGAGAAUUGCUUGAACCCGGGAGCUAGAGGUUGCAGUGAGCCAAGAUGGUGCCACUGCACUUCAGCCUGGGCCACAGAGCUAGACUCUGUCUCUAAAUAAAUAAAUAAAUAAAUAAAAUAAUCUAGGUGAUGGAAUAAGAUGUACAACAAACCCCCAUGACACGAUUUACCUAUGUAACAAACCUGCACUUGUACCCUUGAACUUAAAAAAAAAAGUUAAAUAGAAAAUAAAUAAAUAAAAUAAAAUCUAAUGGAAAAUUGGAUAAAAAAGAAAGAGCAGUGUUUUCAACAACACUCCCCCAUGUUAUCACACUGAGCAUUGUUUCCAAAUUGAUUAUGUUCUUUAAUCAAACACCACACUAGCAUUCUUAAAAGCACUGAGAACAAAGCACUAAAGAGUUCUCUGCCACAGUUUGGCUUUUCUUUCAAUGUCUAAUCAAAUCUCACAUAUUUCCUACUGUCUCCCCAGAGGAGUUCUGGGAACUUUUCUUUAUAUUCUCAUCACAUAACCCACCCCAAGAGACAGGAAGGGAGAAAGGAGGAUGGAAGAAACGAAAGGAGAGAGGAAGGGAGGAAACAGGAUAAAGAAAUGCAGAUGGGAGAAGGUUAGAAUGAAGGAGCCAGCAUCACUGGACUGAAUGUCCCUGCAUCCCUGAUCUGUUCAGUGGGACACAGGCAGCCAGGGAGGCAGCCCAGGAGCCUCAGAGACCGCUGGUAGUGGUGUCCUCCUCAGCACUUCUUCCCUGCCUCCCGCACACCUGAGGGUCAGGCCCUUGCAUCUAAUUGGACAGCUGGGUUGGUGAACGUGGCCUGUUCUGCCAGCCGCCUCGUCGGCCACAGUGACAGCUGUAUCACUUCCCUGAUGUGAGUGGGCGCUGAGAAGCGUUGACACAUGAUCAACUUCCCUCUAAUAUCCUUCAACCAACCUGACAGUUGUCCGGCAGGGGCUAGUCAGCUCGCCUGCCAGCCCUCACCGAGGCAUUGUGGGACAGCUUCCUAAGGAAUACAGUCAGGAGAGACUUCAAAUGAGGCCUUUGUUUUCCCCUAGUGUGCUAACUGGGGAAUUGAUUCAAAUCCUGAGGGUGAUGGCUAUGAUAGGGGCUGCUACAUAGGGCCUGGAGGAAUGUAGGUAACAGCAAAUGAUAGCAUUUGAGAGGGCCACUCCAUCUUGCUCUAAGACUAGCUGGGUGGUCUCGUCGAUGCAGGAUGUGGUUCAGAGGAAGACUUCUAUCAGGGAUUUGCAGUUCCAUAGCAACACACGCUUUUUUUUUUCUAUUCUCACAUAUCUUUCCAUCAUGUAGUUUAAGGUGGAAGAAACACUCUCUCGUACCAGGAAAAGUUUGGAAGCCUCAAAGUUGUAAGCAGAAACGUCUCUGUCUUUCCCGAUGACAGCCACAGUCUGAUGGCUCUAUCCUGCUGAGCAUCUUGUCAUCACCCCUGCCAAGUCUCUUAGCCAGGGGGCCCCUCUCUCUCGCUCACCCACUAGCAGGAAGGACAAGGCUAAGUGGGGAUCCAGGAAGCAUGGGUUCACUUAAGGCUCUGUCGCUAUGCUAAGUGAGGCCAGAGACAUCUUGCAGCAUUGAUGAAGAAUCUGGCAUCCAGUGACUGUCAUUCUUUCCUCUGGUUCUGACAUUCUCCAGAUGUCCAUGAGCAGGAGACGAGGACAGCAGCAAACUCCAGCUUAACAUAAGAUGGAGAGGCUGUUGGGAUUUCUGAGGGACCAGAGAUCUUUUGGCUGCAACUCAGAGGAGGGUUUGGGAACUGGAAGUCAGAAAUCAGGAGUUCGAGACCAGCCUGGUGAAGCCCCAUCUUUACCAAAAAAAAAAAAAAAAAGAAAGAAAGAAAAUACCAAAAAUGAGCCAAUGUCUACAGGGCUUCGCUCCCUCUAGAGGCUUCAGGGGAGGACACUUCCUUGACUCUUCCAGCUCCUGGUGGCUUCCAUGUUCCCUGGCUUGUGACUGCAGAGUUCCAACCUCUGCCUCCGUCUUUGCCGGGCCUUCUCCUCUUCUCCCACGGAGGCAGAGAAGCGUGUCCUCUCCUCUUCAGUCUCUUACAGGGACACUUGUCAUUGGAUUUAGGAUCCACCUGGAUAUUCCAGAAUGGUCUCAUCUUGAGAUCCUUAACUUUAAAGCACCUGCAAAGACUCUUUAACAAAGAAGUUACAUUUGCAAGUUCUGGAACAUGCUCAUAUCUUUUUGGAGGCCACUACUAAACCCCCUACAAUUCUCUUUACAUAAUUUCCCAAAACUGUUUCCCAAAAAGUUGCCAGCAGUAACCAAAUUCCAGAAGUGAAAGCAUGACCCUGGCCCAUGGUGACAAACCCGCUUUCUACCAAGUUGAUCACCACCUAACUGUUGAUUCUAGCCCUUCUAAUCUUUAGCCUGUGGUAGCAAGCCAGGUACAAUUUGGCAUUAAGAUCUAAGAAUGGCCAAAGUCUCUCAUUGCACGCAGUGCUACCCUGAUGCAGUGGAAACUACACUAAACAAGCUCCGUGGGAUCCUUGGGCCUUCUCCCGUCUCCAUGACUCAUUGGCUGGGAGACUUUGGAAAAUUUUCUCUGCUUCUGUGAACUUCAGUCUCCCUAUCUAUAAAAUGAAGACUAGAUUAGAACAGGGGUUGAUAUGCUAUAGCUUUUUUUUUUUUUUGGAGAUGGAGUCUCGCUCUGUCACCCAGGCUAGAGUGCAAAUAGCACAAUCUCGGCUCACUAGAACCUCCACCUCCCGGGUUCAAGUGAUUCUCCUGCCUCAGCCUCCUGAGUAGCUGAGAUUGCAGAUGCCUGCCACCACACCCGGCUAAUUUUUGUAUUUUUAAUAGAGAUGGGUUUUCACCAUGUUGGCCAGGCUGGUCUUGAACUCCUGACCUCAGGUGAUCCACCUGCCUCGGCCUCCCAAAGUGCUGGGAUUACAGGCGUGAGCCACUGUGCCUGGCCAGCCUGCUUUUUUAAAUAAAGUUUUAUUGGAACCCAGCCUUGUCCAUUUAUUUACAGAUCGUGUAUGGGGGCUGUCAUGCUGCAAGAGCAAAGCGGUUGCAACAGAGACAGAAUGACUCAGAAAAUGGAGAAUAUUUGCUGGCUAGCCCUUUACAGAAAAAGCUUGCCACCCCCUAGACAAGUACAGAGCUCUGUAAAGGGCCCUUCUAGCUGGGUUAUUUUGUGUUACUAUGGACCAGUUCCUCAUUUGAGCCCUGCCUAAAAUCUGAUGGUGGCCUGAGGAGCUGGCUAUGGAGAGGGAGCAGGACUGAAAAAAAGGCUCCAUCAGCCUCACAGUACCAGCAUUGCCCCUCCCCGGACAUCCUUGUGUGCACCGUGCUUCCGCAUUGCCUGCGCUCCCAGAAUUUAGCUCCCCCAGAUCUUCCACCCUGUUCUCCCCUUGGGGCUUGCCCCCUGCAACGGGCAGGAAAUGCAGACAGCCAGGGGACUUGUGGGUCCCUUUAAGGCCUUGAGACCUGGGGAAAUCCCCCAGUUCUCAGCCACCUAAGGACAACUCAUUCUCCCAGUCUAAGGGCCGAGUCAUUCUCACUUUGCUUCUAUCACUGUCCAGAUUCCAGCAAAAUACACCCUUCCACAGUCAAACCUCUACCUCCUUCAUUCUCCUCUCUUAUUUGUUAAACAAAUCCUGAUCUGCCUUUUUAGGCUGCUCUUGAAUUUUAUGGCAACAUAUAAUAAACAUCUGACUGCUUUUAUUUCUAUUUAACUUUUAUCUUGAAUGUCUCUGCUGUUUCAAACCAAAUAUUUACAGCAUCACACAGCCGCUGCAAUUUCAUUCCUCACCAAUACUGUCACUCCCUCCUGCUUGCACUCACCAGCCCCGUAGAGAGGCCGGGAAUGUUGGGGCGAAUGGUCUCUUGUGCCCCCACAGCAGGGCUUCCAGACUGGAUCUCUGAGUCACUGGACUCCCGGGAGAGCAGAUGGCUUUCCUGGCAGCCUGGCCCUCAGCUCGGAGUCAGGCCAUCUCUGGUGACUGAAGGGCUUUCUGUACUUGGUGUCUUCACACAUCGGUACUAGGUUGGGUCUGGCUGUGAGAAAGACCCUCGCAUGCUCCAUUAAGGAGCAAACCUGGGGAAUUCGAGCACCUCUGUCUUCUCAAAGGCCUCUCUUUUUCUCAGUACCCUCAGGUUUGGCCCAAGGCCUCGGAGUGCAGCUCCUUGGUCCACCUGUGCUUGUCCCUGCUUUUCUGGCCCACCAAAAAGUGCUCCUGACAGCCCUAACCACCUACUCUUCACCAAGGCUCUCUGGUCCUGUGUGGUCCAAAAGGCCGACUGCAGAUGCUCUUUUGAGUCCAGGGCCCUAAAGAAAGCAGUCCUACCUGGUGGGGGAUGACACUCUGGACCUGGAGUCUGAAGACCUCGUUUUCUGUCUCUGAGCUUCAGUUUUCUCAUCUAUGAAAUGGGAAUCAUAACACACGCUUGAUGUGACUCUCAGGGCUGCCCUAAGGAUACUGAAAAAUGGCGAAUGACGGCGUGCUUUGUACACAGUGGGUCGUCCAAGGGGAGCCAGAGAGUGCCUCUUUCUGGCAUGCCUGAGCCUCCGGAGCUGGAGAAGCCUCCUUUGGUCUCCUAGACUGCCUUUUCUCCUCCCAUCUGUCUCAACCUGCACAAAUCCUGCCGGGCUCUGCACAUUGCUCUGUGUUGACGGAUCCACCAUAUUAGCCUUGCCUGGCCCUUUCCUUCGUCCUUAGAAGACUCAUGACUCCAGCUGAGCUUAUGGGUGAACUCUUUCACAGCAGAAACUGCUUUGCCCUUCCUUCCCCAUGGGCCUUGUACCUGGUCAAGCCUGCAUCUUUCAGCUCUCUGGUCAUCCAGAGGGAAGUCUCACAUGAGUCUUGGUGAGAAUCUUCAACUUGGCCGUGCAAGUUUUCUGAUACUUUCAAUCCAGUUCAAGAUAAGAUACAUACAGCAGUCACACACCCUGAAUCUCAGAUUCUCAGAGAGUCGCCACUUGAUUUAGGAUCUGACACCAUGGGUAGAUAUUGGAAUUCCAGUCUUAGCCUGCAAGUCACACAAUGUCUUUGAGCUUCAGCUUCCAAGCCUGCAAGAUGGGGCGAUAAGAGUUUACCUCCUGGGAGUUAAGAGGAUUAAAUAAGUUAACAGUUAAGUAAAAGUACUCUGAAAUGUUAGCUUUUAUUUUCAUCCUUCCCUCCUUGUGUAAGAAAAUAAUGUAAAUAGCCUUUAUUGCUCUUAGUUUUUCUUGUAAAAGCUGUGGGAAGGUGAAAUAACCUCAUUGAAAUAGAGCCAUUCAUAAGUAGGGUAGAUCAUUAACCGCUAUGAGAUAGAUGAUUAUAUUCCAUCAGGUUCCAAGCCGACAGCACCCAUUUUACAGUUUGGAACUGUGAAGUAUUUGUACUGUGUGAUCCACAGCUCUUAAACUUUCCAAGACUUAGUCAGUCCUUAGGUUCCAGACAAACUUUCAUCCCACCUACACCCCCAACCUACUCUCAUCAGGGUUCCCAAUGACUGCCAUAUUGCCAAAUCUAAUGAUCACUUCUCUGCCUGUAUCUUACUCCGUCUCUCAACAGUAUUUGAAAGAAUUGAUGAUGCCCUCCUUAAAGCUCAUUCUCAUGUGGCUUAGAGGACAGACCUAGCCUCCUACACCACUGGUCAAUCCUGAACUUCCUUUGCUGCUUCUUCCUUUUUCUCCUACCAACCUUUUAUUUUUGUUUUAAUUUAAUUUACUUUUUUUUUUUUAAGAGGCAGGGUCUCACUCUGUCACCCAGGCUGAAGUGCAGUGGGGUGAUCACGGCUCGCUGCAGCCUCGAACUCCUGGGCUCAAGCAAUCAUAUUGCCUCAUCCUCCUGAGUAGCUGGGACUAUAGCAACAUACCACCAUGUUUGACUGUUUUUUUAAUUUUUAUUUUAGUGGAGAUGGGGUCUUGCUAUGUUGCCUAUGUUGGUCUCAAGCUUCUGGCCUCAAGUGAUCCUCCUGCCUCAGCCUCCCAAAGUCCUAGGAUUAUAGUAUGGACAACUGAACCUAGCCUCUUCCCAACCUCUUAAUACUACAGGGCCACAGGGCACUCUUGUCUUUUCUUCUUCUAUAUGCAUAUUCUAAGUCACCUCAUAUCACUCCAUAAUGUUCAUGUACUGGCUACUUGCAAAUUUCCUGCCCAACUUCAAGCUUUCUUCUAAAUAUCAGAUCCUGAUGACCGACUACCUCUUUGGACAUCUCUUAGGCAUCUGAGCCUUGCCAUAUAUAAAACCUAACUCUUGUUUUCUUUUCUCAAACCUGAUCUUUCCUCAGUCUUCCCCAUCUUAGCAAAUGAUCCUUGAUGUGGGCUUAGGGGAAAAAGAAGAACCAAGGAUGAUCAAAGCUUUUAGCCUGAGCAACCUAGAAUGUUCACAUGUGAUGCUCUUUUCCUAGGCCCUGUCAUUACCCCCCAUUAGAUGAAGGUGCAAAUGUGGAUAUGCAUACACAGAGGAACAUAGACUGUAUAUAGAUUUGUUAUUAUCCCUCCAUCUCCCCUACAAGGAAGUGAACUCCCUGAGAGCAGGACAUUUAUGUCAGGUCCUGAGAAACCACAGUGAACAAAAUGGACUGGCACAUAGUAAGAGCUCCUCAAAUAUGCCUUGAAUGACUCCCUGACCUUGUAGAACAAAAAUGCUUCCUGGGUCUACAGAAUGAGAAUAGGCCACAAGAGAAGCGGGAAUGAAACUUGGAAACUCAAGCAUGAGUGCAUUUUUAAGACGAGAGUGCAUUUUUAAGACACAUCUCUGGGCUGAGGCAACGCAUUUACACACAUGUACUGUUUUUACUGAAUUCUGAACCAGAGAGCUAGAUGGAUAGAUGAUAGAUAAUUAAAUUGGUUCCAAUGACAGAGAGCUAAAUGGAUGUUUGUUUUUAUCAUGCCAAAUGAUCAUGCUUAUUUUCUGAAAUUUUCACUUCACAACUGCUUGUUUUGGUGUCAGGUAGAUACAUUUAAGUUAUCAAAACUUGCCUGGGAGGAGUGAGAAAAGAGUGUGCUUCUUGUCUCUGCUAUCAGCAAAUAUAAGCCCACCAGGUGACAAGUCCCUGCCAAGUUCCAGGACAGCAUGGGGAGCUGUGUAUGAUGCACUCAUGGAGUCUAAAAUCAGGGGUUGAUCCCUCUGAAACAUCUUGCAACCAAAACUCCAUCUUGGCGUCUGCUUCCUUCUGAAGAACUCAACCUGGGACACAGUAAGAGGACAGAUCACCUACCUGUGAGGACCCCUGUGAUUCAG
Molecule: long non-coding RNA, 7348 nt
Filed under: Homo sapiens (human)
Lineage: Eukaryota; Metazoa; Chordata; Mammalia; Primates; Hominidae
Description: HSALNT0258296
Source: RNAcentral